Molecule: ribosomal RNA, 545 nt
Filed under: Russula ochroleuca
Lineage: Eukaryota; Fungi; Basidiomycota; Agaricomycetes; Russulales; Russulaceae
Description: mitochondrial SSU rRNA
Rfam family: Bacterial small subunit ribosomal RNA
Source: RNAcentral
GAAUAUUAGUCAAUGCUCGAAAGAGUGAACUAGCUAACUGAAAUCAAUUAUAAAUUGAUAACAUAAGGGAAAAUAAUGAUAUUACCUUAUUAUUAGUGUCGUCCAAAUCUGGUGCCAGAAGACUCGGUAAGGCCAGAGACACAAAUGUUAAUCGUCUUAAUCAGGCGUAAAGGGUUUGUAGGCGGCUUUAAAAUUUUCUUAUAAAAAAUAAAAUAAGUAAAGAAUAAAAGCUAGAAUCAAAUAGAGGAUAGAUUAAAUAAUGCUUAGAGUAGAUCUGAUAUUCUUAGAUACUAAGUAGAAUAUUAAAGGCGAAAGCUUUUUUCCAUUAAUGAUUGACGCUCAGAAACGAAGGUGAGGAUAGGAAAUAGGAUUAGAUACCCAAAAUACCCCUCUCUGUCAACGAUGAAUGGUAGUUAUUAGUAAAAAUUUUAUUAAUAGCAAUGUUAACACGAUAACCAUUCCGCCUUGUGAGUACAACUGCAAAGUUGAAAACAAAAAAAUUAGUCGGUUUCGGAGCAAACGAAGUGAAGCAUGUUAUUUAAUUC